Molecule: ribosomal RNA, 492 nt
Filed under: uncultured bacterium
Lineage: Bacteria
Description: partial 16S ribosomal RNA
Rfam family: Bacterial small subunit ribosomal RNA
Source: RNAcentral
AGUGAACGCUGGCGGCAUGCCUAACACAUGCAAGUCGAACGGCAGCACAGUAUGUUCUUGCUCGUAGGGGGGGCCGGUCGCGGGAGUGUUACGUAUGCACAGGACUCUUAUUUUGGGAGGGCGCUAACGAAGCGGGACUAAUACUACAACCGAACAACACCUAAGAGUGGAAGCACGUCAGCUCCCGCCCUUUCGCGUUCGCAUGUGCCGAUGUCGGUUUAGCUAGUUGGCGGGGCAAAGGCCGACCAAGGCGACGAUCCGUAGCUGGUCUGAGAGGAGGACCAGCCACACUGGAACUGAGACACGGCCCAGACUCCUACGGGAGGCAGCAGUGGGGAAUAUUGGACAAUGGGCGCAAGCCUGAUCCAGCAAUGCCGCGUGGGUGAAGAAGGCCUUCGGGUUGUAAAGCCCUUUUGUUGGGAAAGAAAAGCAUGAGGUUAAUACGCCGCUGGUCUGACGGUACCCAAAGAAUAAGCACCGGCUAACUACGUG